RNAcentral lists this non-coding RNA (196 nucleotides) under Domibacillus epiphyticus. RNAcentral describes it as "6S / SsrS RNA". It matches the Rfam family "6S / SsrS RNA". Rfam says of the family: E. coli 6S RNA was the first non coding RNA to be sequenced, but its function was unknown until recently. It consists of 184 nucleotides that fold into an extended hairpin structure with a large single-stranded internal bulge. Lineage: Bacteria; Bacillati; Bacillota; Bacilli; Caryophanales; Bacillaceae. The record is from Rfam by way of RNAcentral.
UACGAGCUGCAUUGUUCGUAAUGAAUAAUUAAGUUUUAACCUUUAUGCUGUAAAAGGGAGUUAAAAAUUAAAGCAGGAAUGACAAAACUCUGUCUAUAUGACAAGGAGGACACGCAGGAAUGCUUUUGUGAACACCCACUUGGAGAAGUGGUGGUUUAAAACUUUCUUAUAUGAAUACGGCAAAAGCGGCUUGUGU